CGCAAGCCUGACGGAGCAAUACCGCGUGAGGGGGAAGGCUCUUGGGUCGUAAACCUCUUUUGUCAGGGAAGAAGAAAGUGACGGUACCUGAAGAAUCAGCAUCGGCUAACUCCGUGCCAGCAGCCGCGGUAAUACGGAGGAUGCAAGCGUUAUCCGGAAUUAUUGGGCGUAAAGCGUCCGCAGGCGGCUAAUCAAGUCUGCUGUUAAAGGCCGAGGCUUAACUUCGGUUGAGCAGUGGAAACUGAUUAGCUAGAGUGCGGUAGGGGCAGAGGGAAUUCCCGGUGUAGCGGUGAAAUGCGUAGAGAUCGGGAAGAACACCGGUGGCGAAAGCGCUCUGCUGGGCCGCAACUGACACUGAGGGACGAAAGCUAGGGGAGCG
RNAcentral lists this ribosomal RNA (379 nucleotides) under uncultured cyanobacterium. RNAcentral's name for it is "bacterial SSU rRNA". It matches the Rfam family "Bacterial small subunit ribosomal RNA", at positions 376 to 770 of the family's 1533-position model. The record is from RNAcentral. Lineage: Bacteria; Bacillati; Cyanobacteriota.